CCUCUCCUCGCCCGACAGCUACUAUGUCUGUGCAUGCGGCGGCUGCCCAAUUCAUAGCGGGACACUAGAUCUCAAGUUCUGCCAUGGAUUUGCCAUUGUUGUGCUAGCACUCUACAUCGUUCGAGGGCGCCGCGGCGGAGCCAAGAAUCAGAAGUACCCUCCCAUGGUGGGCAUUGUGUUCUAACUGUUCCACUUCUCCCGGCUUGAUGGAGCACCUGACGGAGCUUGCCACAUGUACCAAACGGUGCAGCAGCAGUUGAUGUGCAACCCGAAGGUACUGCCGCUCGAGGAGGCCAGUAAGUGCCAAAAGCAGGCUAUCACAGCUAAGCUGGUGGUUGUUGUUGAUGUGGACUAAGGUAUGUGAAAUGGUUACACCCAUAGAGUUGUUCGUUUGAAAUUGUCAGCUACUCAGCUGUGCAUUUGUAGUGUUUUGUAGUCGAAUGCACUGUUUUUGUAUUAUUAGUGGUUGAUUUCGUGGUCCUCAGAUAAUGGAAUAACCAACAUUUGAACAGCCUUGAACAAAAUUGCAUUUGGUCAAGGAAUUAACGUCACUUUGUCUUUGUUAUGGUUGACCUUUUCUCACUGCCUUGUACUGCAUAUCUUCCGGUUCUUAGUAGCUUUCUUGCAACUCUGAACAAAUUUAUUACUGAUCGUUAUCCUCUUGAUUGUACUCAGGUGGCACAAAAACCUUCUAUAUAAAACCUUAAUAGUUUUAUACUUUUUAUGGAAAGCCUUGACAAUUGUAAAUGCCAGCCAUCUAUACACUCAAACUCAAAUAAUCGUAGGGAAUUGAUUUAUAAAUAUAUAGAAAAAGUAGGGAUUAUAAUUUACCUUCAGGUGGCAUUCGACGGCACCUUCAUGGAAGGCCAGAUCUGCGGACGCGCCCCAUUCCUUACCUGGCGGCGACGGCAUUCACGGCGCCCCUUCCUCGCCUCAAUCGACUGCUAUUAAAGGAUGGACAGAGUGCGGUCCUUUGGAACCCAAGGGUGGAAGAAAGACGGAGUGCAGAUUCCUGCUAGCGACAAAGUUUACGAGUAUAUCCUCUUCCGGGGAACUGAUAUCAAGUAUUUGCAAGUUAAGUCAUUACCACCACAGCCGCCACCACCACAAGCAGCUUCCCUGCACAAUGAUCCUACCAUAAUCCAGUCACAUUAUUCUCAACCUGCAUCAACGUCAUCAAGUUUGCCUUCAACUGGGGGUGCAGUUUUACCAGACUUCAGCUCCUAGGCAGUUCAAUAUGGGCUUCAGAGGCCAACCUUCCAGAGUAACCUUCCUCUCUACCAACCAGGGAAUACUCUGUGGGGCUCUUUAGUGGCACCUCUAGCAGGAAAUAAAAUAUCAGAAGAAACUUAAAUAUCAGAAGAUUGAUGCAAUGAUCUGGAAAGCCAUCACAUGCGUGUAGGUGCUCUUGCAUGGAGUUCUUUGCUUUCUUCUGGAAGCCAUGACAAGAGCAUCCUCCACCAUGAUAUCUGUGCUCAAGAAGAUUAUGUUAGCAGGCUUACCUGGCAUAAAUCUGAGCUUGAGUAGAAAGGAGGCUUUCCUAAGGCAUUUCUAAUCAUGUUCUCGCGGCGCACUGGUCAGAAUCUUAUUAAGAAUGAGCUUUCACAGAUCAUCAUAGUUUAGAUAUUUAGAUAACAUACACAUAAGUUCAUUCAUGAGAGCAAAAUGAUCAGCACAGUCAAAUGGUUUAUGCCCUUCAAAAGUU
This is an RNA transcript of Zea mays, 1705 nucleotides long. It is a transcript of the gene named protein-like pseudogene, with no coding region annotated. The record is from RefSeq and is marked validated. Lineage: Eukaryota; Viridiplantae; Streptophyta; Magnoliopsida; Poales; Poaceae. The transcript has 6 exons.